RNAcentral lists this ribosomal RNA (500 nucleotides) under uncultured bacterium. RNAcentral's name for it is "partial 16S ribosomal RNA". It matches the Rfam family "Bacterial small subunit ribosomal RNA", at positions 30 to 523 of the family's 1533-position model. The record is from RNAcentral.
AUUGAACGCUGGCGGCAUGCCUUACACAUGCAAGUCGAACGGCAGCACGGGUGCUUGCACCUGGUGGCGAGUGGCGAACGGGUGAGUAAUACAUCGGAACGUACCUUAUCGUGGGGGAUAACGCAGCGAAAGCUGUGCUAAUACCGCAUACGCCCUGAGGGGGAAAGCGGGGGAUCGCAAGACCUCGCGCGAUUAGAGCGGCCGAUGCCUGAUUAGCUUGUUGGUGGGGUAAAAGCCCACCAAGGCGACGAUCAGUAGCUGGUCUGAGUGGAGGAUCAGCCACACUGGGACUGGGACACGGCCCCGACUCCUACGGGAGGCAGCAGUGGGGAAUUUUGGACAAUGGGGCAACCCUGAUCCAGCAAUGCCGCGUGAGUGAAGAAGGCCUUCGGGUUGUAAAGCUCUUUUGUCAGGGAAGAAACACCGGCUCUAACACAGUCUGGGAAUGACGGUACCUGAAGAAUAAGCACCGGCUAACUACGUGCCAGCCGCCGCCGUAA